UUUCCACUCAUUCUAGUUUUGCAGUGCAAAAAGUGAAUUCGUUUUUCUGCGGAGCCCAUUGCAAUGAGUGAAUAAUUUUUGUGCUAAUUGGAAAAUAAAAAGACAAAACCUUGCAAAGUUGUGAAAACCUCUUAGCAACUGUGCGGAAAACCGGACUGCAAAUGUUCUAUAGUUUUUGCGAAAAAAAAUAUGCAAACGAAAAAAGGUUGUGAAAAGAAUUACCAACAAGAAAAAAGUGCAGGAAGAAGCAGAGUAGUGAACUAGUGAACGAAGCAAGUGAAAUUGCAUGUAUUGCACAAAUGCAGAAUUAAAUACAAAACAAAAAAGUAAAAAGAUUGCUUGAAAAAUCUUUGCAAUUUUUUUAUGUGUUUGAAGUUCGGGGGUAAUUUUGUUGAAAAUUCCGUUUGGUAAGCUUUGUGCAGUGAUAGACACAAAAACAACUGCUGAUUGCAGUCGAGGGGGUAAAACAAAAGCAACAACGCGUGCAGCGCAGUAUCGUGGGGCGCAGAGGAAAAGCAGCAGCAGCAGCGUUGAAGAAGCAGCUGAUUUUCGUUUGACGUUCCGGUGGUGUUAGGCAGAGCGCUACAGCUGCGCUAACUGCGCAGUUCGCCAUUCGAAAGAACAAAAGAAGAAUCUACGCUAAAAGGCUGAAUCAAUCGCUCGCGUAUAGUUAAAGUCGAUAUCGGGAGCGCAAAAUUAGCGAAUGAAAAAGUGAAUCAAAAAGUUGGUAACUAUAUAAACAGACCAAGUGCAAAAUAGAAUCUGCCGCCAAGUCCAAAACAAAAAAAAAAAAUGAUUUUCCAAGCGCCCAACAAUUUGUCACCUUUGGCUUAUGCGCAUACUUUAUGUGAUACUUCAUGUAUUAUGCCAGAGAGGAUUACGAUAAUAGUACUAUCAAUUGAGUCGGUGUUUUGUGAUCAGCGCCAACAACAACAACAACAACAACAACAUGAUCUGCAUGCAGCUGUUAAAGAGUAAAACGUUCAAGGCAAAACUAUUUGUUUAAAGGCUGCCUGUACCUUACUACUGCAUCCCCAGCAUAAAGCGUUGUGAAGCCUUGAAAGCAAACGAUUAUGUUAAACAGUACCUACUUACUGGACUAUUGAAACAACAACUUAGCACAACAUUAACAAGAACUUUGUGUGAUUUGUGUUGUUAUAAUAGUGGUUUACAUAUGUACAAGUAUUAAAGGAAAACGAUAAUAAGUAUAAAGGACCUAAACAACACAGAGAGAAGUGAAAGAUUGCAUUCGAGUGGCCAUCGAAUUGGUAAGUCUUUA
This is a long non-coding RNA of Rhagoletis zephyria (snowberry fruit fly), 1279 nucleotides long. RefSeq lists it as uncharacterized. The record is from RefSeq and is a predicted model, not a curated record. Lineage: Eukaryota; Metazoa; Arthropoda; Insecta; Diptera; Tephritidae.